AAAAGUAGAGGUGCGUUAUUCAUAAGUAGGGUGGUGGAUGUAACAGAUACAUAAGAAGCCAUUUGAAAGGGGAUGACGCCGAAGUGGAAGGAAUGCUGGUUCUGACUGCUGGGGGCAUGAUUAACAGUUAUGUCACUGUCACCUUUUAGAAUUUGCGAUUGCAGUUCUUGGGGUGGAGGGCUACUUAA
Molecule: non-coding RNA, 188 nt
Filed under: uncultured Bacteroides sp.
Lineage: Bacteria; Pseudomonadati; Bacteroidota; Bacteroidia; Bacteroidales; Bacteroidaceae
Description: Lysine riboswitch
Rfam family: Lysine riboswitch aptamer
About the family: Riboswitches are metabolite binding domains within certain messenger RNAs that serve as precision sensors for their corresponding targets. Allosteric rearrangement of mRNA structure is mediated by ligand binding, and this results in modulation of gene expression.
Source: RNAcentral